RNAcentral lists this ribosomal RNA (253 nucleotides) under uncultured bacterium. Its description in RNAcentral is "partial 16S ribosomal RNA". It matches the Rfam family "Bacterial small subunit ribosomal RNA", at positions 524 to 776 of the family's 1533-position model. The record is from RNAcentral.
UACGUAGGUGGCGAGCGUUGUCCGGAUUUACUGGGCGUAAAGGGAGCGUAGGCGGACUUUUAAGUGAGAUGUGGAAUACUCGGGCUCAACUUGAGUGCUGCAUUUCAAACUGGAAGUCUAGAGUGCAGGAGAGGAGAAUGGAAUUCCUAGUGUAGCGGUGAAAUGCGUAGAGAUUAGGAAGAACACCAGUGGCGAAGGCGAUUCUCUGGACUGUAACUGACGCUGAGGCUCGAAAGCGUGGGGAGCAAACAGG